GUCCGGUUUCACAGUUUGAAUAGUUUGAGACCAGUUAAUAAUACCUAUCAAUUUCAGUUGCUGCUAACAACGUAACUAUAGACACCAGUAACGCACAUACCAUUUUCAGUGAAUGUACGUGAAUACACAAAUAUAAGAUUUAAAUCACUUUAUACAUCGACAAGGACAAAAUGAAAUGGUCAGACUAUGAAUUGAUCUGAUCUAUUUCACGCAUCUUUCGUCUAAUUAAACAGCAUUAUAAUCCAAAAUUUUGUCAUGUUAAGCCCACGCCUGAUGAAAAGAGAUCCUGCAAACCAUAGAAUUGAUUAAUUCAUAGCUUCACUAGGUCAGUUCUGAAUUUGAAACAAUACAAGAGAAGAACAAAUCAAAAUAAUCAUCAGAUCAAAAUACAAUACACA
RNAcentral lists this long non-coding RNA (398 nucleotides) under Oryza brachyantha (malo sina). Its description in RNAcentral is "long non-coding RNA (OBRA_LNC000720)". Lineage: Eukaryota; Viridiplantae; Streptophyta; Magnoliopsida; Poales; Poaceae. The record is from RNAcentral.